AAAAAAAGGUUUUAUCAUCAAAUUGCAUUUGGAGCCAAGCGACCCUGUCUUUCAGAUGUUGAGCAAGCAGACAGGAUGGGGCGGAGUCAAAACUGCAUGGCUUCACGUUGCUGCAGGAGAAAAGGAAGAGAAGACGUUUAGUGAUAGCACCCCCAAACCCCCCCAUCUUGGCAGGUUAUUGUGAGUACGUACCUUGGCAGAGCUCAGGAGGAGAACACCAGACACACACACACACAUGACAACGUGGAAUAAACCACCAAGUAGUGUGGCAGAGAGUGGAACUUUACUACUUUAGACUUUCAGAUCUCAACUUUUAUUUUGGCCCAAGCAGGUGAACAGCAUGGAUGAGCUUCUUGGGGUAGAUGAAGCUGCCACCUAAUGAUGUAAUUUCAACCAAUCAAGAUCCCGCCUCCAGAUGACAUCACUUCUGGCACCAGUUCCGCAAGCUUCCUCCUCUUCCUGUCUCCUACCUGCCAUCUUACUUACAUAUAUCAUUUCUGUUUUGAACUCCCUGUCUGUAAAAACAUAAUUUUGUUUUAGUUUGCAUCUUUUGAAGGAUACAGAGUGCAAAAUCAUCCAACCUUUAAGCUUGAUCCUAACUCUUAUUGCAAUGUAUUUAUUUAUUUAAAGAGCUUCUGUAAAAAAGGCAA
Molecule: long non-coding RNA, 650 nt
Organism: Polypterus senegalus (gray bichir)
Lineage: Eukaryota; Metazoa; Chordata; Cladistia; Polypteriformes; Polypteridae
Exons: 3
Source: RefSeq, a predicted model, not a curated record